AUUGAACGCUGGCGGCAGGCUUAACACAUGCAAGUCGAGCGGGGGAAGGUAGCUUGCUACUGGACCUAGCGGCGGACGGGUGAGUAAUGCUUAGGAAUCUGCCUAUUAGUGGGGGACAACAUCUCGAAAGGGAUGCUAAUACCGCAUACGUCCUACGGGAGAAAGCAGGUGAUCUUUGGACCUUGCGCUAAUAGAUGAGCCUAAGUCGGACUAGCUAGUUGGUGGGGUAAAGGCCUACCAAGGCGACGAUCUGUAGCGGGUCUGAGAGGAUGAUCCGCCACACUGGGACUGAGACACGGCCCAGACUCCUACGGGAGGUAGCAGUGGGGAAUAUUGGACAAUGGGGGGAACCCUGAUCCAGCCAUGCCGCGUGUGUGAAGAAGGCCUUAUGGUUGUAAAGCACUUUAAGCGAGGAGGAGGCUACUUUAGUUAAUACCUAGAGAUAGUGGACGUUACUCGCAGAAUAAGCACCGGCUAACUCUGUGCCAGCAGCCGCCGUAA
This 501-nucleotide ribosomal RNA is filed under the name uncultured bacterium. RNAcentral describes it as "partial 16S ribosomal RNA". It matches the Rfam family "Bacterial small subunit ribosomal RNA", at positions 30 to 523 of the family's 1533-position model. The record is from RNAcentral.